AGAAUGCUGGCUGGAAAGUGCUGACAUUCCCCUGGCUACUCCAUGAGCCCUGGAAAGAAAGGAUGUUUCUGUCGUGUAGCUCUGGCACAUUGUAGCAUUGAGCUUUUCCGUCUGUGUUAGAAAAGACUCAUCAUAUGACUGACUUCAGCCAAUGAAGCAUAAGUGGAAGUGACAUGCAUCACCUCUGGAUGAAAGUCAGCAAGAGUCAGUUUAUAAUUUCCCACAUUUCCUUGCCCUUGUCAUGGUGACCAUGAUGCUUCCAAUGAUAGAGGCUCUAUUUGUUUUUGUUCCUGAGUGAGACAACGUGGGGACAAGUCUCUAGUGGACUUGCAAGGCUUUAUUGUUUCAAGCGACUGAGCGUUGGGGUUUGUUACAAAGCCCAUACUGACUAAUGUGCUUUUAAUUCUUUAUUUACACAUUUAAAAUGCUGCUUACAUUUUCUGAUCAGCAUAUGUGCAUUAUGGGGAACUUUGAAAAUACAGAAAAGUAUCAAAAAGAAAUAAACAUGCACUGAAAUUACCUAUACAGAAAUAAUUUCUGUUAAUAUUUUGAUGUAUUUUUUCUCUCUUUUUCUCAUAAAACUAAGAUCACACUAUAUAUACACUACUGGUGUUUUUGGUUUAUAUUAUAUCGAUAGUCUUUAAAAUAUAUCAUCUGUGGCACAAUAUUAGUGAAGGAAUGUUGUAAUCUAUUUUUAUAUUUGUGUAUUUCCUAUUUAUAUUAUAUAUUCAAUAACAAAAUAACAUUUUACUUUUUUUUCUUUUUCUUGUUGUAAACAACAUCCCAAUGAUACAUUAGUACGUAUCUUUGCUCACAUUGCUGCUUAUGUCCUUAGGGUAGAAGCUAGAAGGAGAAUUACUGGGCCAAGAAGUAUAAAUAUUUUUAAGACUUUUGCUACCUAUUGCAAAACUGCCCAGGAGAAAGGUUGUACCAAUUAGCACUGCAGCAAGGAGACAUGGGCCAUCUCACCACCUCCGUUGACGGCUAGAAUUCCUUUUAAUCUCUGUUAAUUUGUCCCCCAAACACCAAACUGUUAAACAGAGAGCAACGCGGGAAGCCAGCAGCGCUGUUCUGUUGCCACGGAGCCUCAGCACGUGUUUUUGAAGUACACACACAAAUGGACAGACAGAUGUACCUUUAUCUAUAAAUAUCAUCAGUUGGCGGAAUCCCCAGUAACAAAGAAAAAGUAGGUAAGGGGUUGUGCCUCACACUGCCCUUCUUUCUUUUCUCUUUAAUAUUGCCCUGGAUGUGUGUUGUGAUUUCAUUUUACCAGCAGGUGUGUGUGAGUGUGUGCGUGUGUGUUUGGAGGUGGUGGGGAGAGGGGGGCAGGGUAUGACUCCCCACAGGGUGGUUAGUCUGCACCUUCAUAUUCCCGUGAGUUCAACCCUGGGUCCCACAUCAGA
This is a long non-coding RNA of Leopardus geoffroyi (Geoffroy's cat), 1403 nucleotides long. RefSeq lists it as uncharacterized. The transcript has 4 exons. The record is from RefSeq and is a predicted model, not a curated record. Lineage: Eukaryota; Metazoa; Chordata; Mammalia; Carnivora; Felidae.